This 440-nucleotide ribosomal RNA is filed under the name uncultured bacterium. RNAcentral's name for it is "partial 16S ribosomal RNA". It matches the Rfam family "Bacterial small subunit ribosomal RNA", at positions 338 to 795 of the family's 1533-position model. The record is from RNAcentral.
CCUACGGGAGGCAGCAGUGGGGAAUAUUGCACAAUGGGGGAAACCCUGAUGCAGCGACGCCGCGUGAGUGAAGAAGUAUUUCGGUAUGUAAAGCUCUAUCAGCAGGGAAGAAAAUGACGGUACCUGAUUAAGAAGCCCCGGCUAACUACGUGCCAGCAGCCGCGGUAAUACGUAGGGGGCAAGCGUUAUCCGGAUUUACUGGGUGUAAAGGGAGCGUAGACGGCAGUGCAAGUCUGGAGUGAAAGGCCGGGGCUCAACCCCCGGACUGCUCUGGAAACUGUGCGGCUGGAGUGCAGGAGAGGUAAGUGGAAUUCCUAGUGUAGCGGUGAAAUGCGUAGAUAUUAGGAGGAACACCAGUGGCGAAGGCGGCUUACUGGACUGUAACUGACGUUGAGGCUCGAAAGCGUGGGGAGCAAACAGGAUUAGAUACCCGAGUAGUC